UUGUAAUGAACCUUUAUUAAACACAGCCACAGAACAAAAAAUAUAAGAUAAACAAAAAGAAGUCAUAUGCAAACAAACAUUUCCUAUCCACACAAAAAGGAGGAUAUAUCAAUAUCCCAAUACCAACCUUCAAAUUAAAAUACCAACAUUCAAUAAAAGGCCAUAAAAAUCACACAUAACAAACCACUAGGGAAAAAAGGAGCCAAAAGAAAGGGGGAAACAUGGCAG
This 228-nucleotide long non-coding RNA is filed under the name Solanum tuberosum (potato). RNAcentral's name for it is "long non-coding RNA (STUB_LNC004998)". The record is from RNAcentral. Lineage: Eukaryota; Viridiplantae; Streptophyta; Magnoliopsida; Solanales; Solanaceae.